This is a long non-coding RNA of Triticum dicoccoides, 825 nucleotides long. RefSeq lists it as uncharacterized. The transcript is spliced from 6 exons. The record is from RefSeq and is a predicted model, not a curated record. Lineage: Eukaryota; Viridiplantae; Streptophyta; Magnoliopsida; Poales; Poaceae.
CAGCGUUUCCUUAGGAGAGGGGGGCCAUCGACCUCGCGAACCCGCUCCUCAACCGCACCGUCGACGGCUUCCUCAAGAUCGGCGCCGUCGGCGCCUGUUGGGUAGUCGCCGAGGACGCCUUCAACUGCAUCCACACGGGCCGAAAUGGGGCGUUGGAGAAGCUGCUGGCCGGUAGAUCUGUGUGAAAGCCACCAUUGAGAGGUACAAAAAGGCCAACAGUGACACAUCCAACUCUGGCACGGUUGUAGAAGUCAAUGCCCAGGUAACAUCAUGUCAUUCUUUCACUCUACAGCAAUUGCUUGAAUUGACACCCAAGAUGUGAUCUUUUGCUAUCUUAGGAGAACCUGGUGUGCUAUAUGGGGAAGCAAAGCAGCAGCCCACAACCCGACCUGUGACUCCAGAUGAAGGCACCACGAUGCACCAUAAUUAUCCCUUGGAAGCUCAGCUCCUGGACUCUAACUUCCUCUCAAUUUGUGCUCUGCUUGAUAUCAGUUCCUUGUAUGGCUGAUGCAUUGAUGCAAGUUGUAAUGUGCAGGGCUUCUGAGUUUGCACCCCACCGCCCGGACGGAGCAAGGAGGGGGCAUCAUCCACACAGUGGAGUUGGUUGAGCCUUGAGUGCGGCCUGGAGACGCAGGGCAUUGUAUGGGGUCAUCUCUUUCUUGUGUUGUGAUGCUGCUGUUUCAUGUUUCGUCGCGAGCAUCAAGAUGAAGAAGUCGGAAGAAGCAUAGUUCAAGCUCAUUGGAUCUAGUUCAAGGAGUAUUGAAGGCCUUGAUGCUGAUCGUAUUGGAAAAAAUUGAAGCAUGAACUUGGCUCAUGUGACAUAUU